This 780-nucleotide ribosomal RNA is filed under the name Saccharomyces cerevisiae (brewer's yeast). RNAcentral describes it as "partial 18S ribosomal RNA". The stretch from base 349 to 502 matches the Rfam family "5.8S ribosomal RNA". The record is from RNAcentral. Lineage: Eukaryota; Fungi; Ascomycota; Saccharomycetes; Saccharomycetales; Saccharomycetaceae.
UUUUGAAAAUGGAUUUUUUUGUUUUGGCAAGAGCAUGAGAGCUUUUACUGGGCAAGAAGACAAGAGAUGGAGAGUCCAGCCGGGCCUGCGCUUAAGUGCGCGGUCUUGCUAGGCUUGUAAGUUUCUUUCUUGCUAUUCCAAACGGUGAGAGAUUUCUGUGCUUUUGUUAUAGGACAAUUAAAACCGUUUCAAUACAACACACUGUGGAGUUUUCAUAUCUUUGCAACUUUUUCUUUGGGCAUUCGAGCAAUCGGGGCCCAGAGGUAACAAACACAAACAAUUUUAUCUAUUCAUUAAAUUUUUGUCAAAAACAAGAAUUUUCGUAACUGGAAAUUUUAAAAUAUUAAAAACUUUCAACAACGGAUCUCUUGGUUCUCGCAUCGAUGAAGAACGCAGCGAAAUGCGAUACGUAAUGUGAAUUGCAGAAUUCCGUGAAUCAUCGAAUCUUUGAACGCACAUUGCGCCCCUUGGUAUUCCAGGGGGCAUGCCUGUUUGAGCGUCAUUUCCUUCUCAAACAUUCUGUUUGGUAGUGAGUGAUACUCUUUGGAGUUAACUUGAAAUUGCUGGCCUUUUCAUUGGAUGUUUUUUUUCCAAAGAGAGGUUUCUCUGCGUGCUUGAGGUAUAAUGCAAGUACGGUCGUUUUAGGUUUUACCAACUGCGGCUAAUCUUUUUUUAUACUGAGCGUAUUGGAACGUUAUCGAUAAGAAGAGAGCGUCUAGGCGAACAAUGUUCUUAAAGUUUGAGCUCAAAUCAGGUAAGAGUACCCCGCUGAACUUAAGC